GACACCAUAGAGGUGGGCCUUUGGCGAGUCACAGGCGCGGGUGUUCGGCUACGUCACUGGGGCGCUACGGUGCCUGGAGCUGGGCAGUCUUCUCGUCAGAGUGGGGACUGGUAAGAGCGACCUCACCGCCAGGUCCUGUGUGUUGCCGGCUGAAGAAGGGUAGCUGAAAAAUUCAGACCCAGCACAGUGUUUAUGUUGGUCAAAAAUAGAAAACUAUGUCUGCCGCGGCCGAGGCAGGAGGACCCUUCAGGCCAAGAGCAGCCUAGCAACAUGGCGCAACCCCAUCUCUGUAGUCCUACCUCAGCCCCCCAGCUACUUGAACCCAAAGGUUCAAGGCUCCAGUGAGCUAUGAUCCCACCACAGCAUUCCAGCCUGCGAGAUUGAGAUGAUGAUUAUUCCCCACCUUCUAAGAGACAAAGACCAACGAUCCACCACAGCCACCAGUCCCAGAACCCGCCAAUGCUGGGGAAUGGAAAAUGAGGGAGUUCAACUCUGGCCCUCACAAUCCAGUGGAGGAGACGAAACUCAUCUGCCUCUGUCCCUCUGGGCACGCCUCAUGCCAGGUGCAUCUGUGGACAGGGGCCAUGCUCCUGGGCUUCCAAAGUUGGAGAAAGCUGCCAGGCUCAGGUCUGAAGGCCAGAAUUCUACAGUAAGUCCUACUGAGUCAAGGUGGGAGCAGGGUCGGUGGCUUCCGAGGCUCUGCGGGAGAAUCCGUUUCCUGGCCGUAGAGGUGGCCUGCACUCCUCAGCUUGUGCUGCCCGUCUCGAAUGACUGGAGUUUCCUGCUUCUGUCACUACACCUCCCACCCUCUCCAUCACCUGCUCUGCUCUUAUAAGGAUCCGAAGAAAUGGAAUCAUCGUAUCGCUGAUCUGCGUAAACAAAUUGAAGAAUUGUCUGAAAGAAAAUAUGACAUGAACUUAUGAAUUCAACAGGUAAAGAUUUACAACUUGAUAAAUCAACUUUGUGAGCUCGAGCUGUAAAAGCCAAAGGUCCAGUGAUGAUCCCAUACCCUUUUGUCCAGUCUCAUGUUGAAGAUUUUUAUGUAGAAGGCCUUCCCAAAGGAAUUUUUUUUUUUUUUUUGAGAUGGAGUUUUCACUCUUAUCGCCCAGGCUGGGGUGCAAUGGCGCAACCUUGCUGGUCACUGCAACCUCUGCCUCCUGGGUUCAAGAAAUUCUCUUGCCUUAGCCUCCCAAGUUGCUGGGAUUACAGGUGCCCACCACCACACCAGGCUAAUUUUUGUAUUUUUAGUGGAGAUGGGGUUUCACCAUGUUGGCCGGGCCAGUCUCGAACUCCUGACGUCAAGUGAUCUUCCCGCCUCGACUCCUGACAUCAAGUGAUCUUCCCACCUCGGCCUCCAAGAGUGCUGAGAUUACAGAUGUGAACCCAUGCCUGGCCAGGAAUUUUGUUUUUUAGGAAGGCUUUCUACUAAUGGAAUUCCUGGCCUUGAGAGGAUGUUACUUUCGAAGGAAAGGAUUUUUUUGUUAUUAAAAGAGCCACCUAAGCUGAAGAUUCCCUUGAGAACAAGUACUGUCCUGCGGUUUCAUGGCCUUUCUUCCAUUUGUGGUUCUUGUGAAGUGGAAUUUAAAUGACAUCAAGAUGGAUAAACCCUAGUUUCCCAGUGCUGGAAUAUAGAAAAUGGAUGGACAAGUAAAUCCCACUCAGCACCCAUAGUCCAGGCAUGGGGAUCUCAACACACCUGAGCCCCAGACAUCACCUUUCAUUCUGGACCUACCAUGAAAGACUUCUGAAUCCAGGAAGAGAAACUGACUGGGCAACAUGUUAUUCAGUGCAAGGAUUACAGGUAUGAGCCACCAUGCCUGGCCCCUACCCUGCCUAUUGAGAACCAAAAGAAGGAUCCAAAUUCUCCUUAGCUCAACUCGAGCCAUUUCCUGAUUGCUUCAUCAGCAAGGACCUGGUUAUUGGGCUGUCCAGGCCUCCCAAGCAGCACAGAAAUGAGGUGAAGGAGUUUUCCUGCUGCUCCACUCUGUAAGGAGUUGGAGGGUGAUGUUUACUCGUUUGCAGAGAGAGAUGCCUUGUAGGCACCUCAGGAUGGAGAGGACCCUGAUUCCAAUGUCCUUUUUUU
RNAcentral lists this long non-coding RNA (2083 nucleotides) under Homo sapiens (human). RNAcentral's name for it is "HSALNT0357416". Lineage: Eukaryota; Metazoa; Chordata; Mammalia; Primates; Hominidae. The record is from RNAcentral.